UACGUAGGGUGCGAGCGUUGUCCGGAAUCAUUGGGCGUAAAGCGCGCGUAGGUGGCUUCGUAAGUCCGUUGUGAAAGUCAAAGGCUCAACCUUUGAAUGCCGAUGGAUACUGCGGAGCUAGAGUACGGAAGAGGCGAGUGGAAUUCCUGGUGUAGCGGUGGAAUGCGCAGAUAUCAGGAGGAACACCAAUAGCGAAGGCAGCUCGCUGGGACGUUACUGACACUAAGGCGCGAAAGCGUGGGGAGCGAACAGG
This 253-nucleotide ribosomal RNA is filed under the name uncultured bacterium. RNAcentral describes it as "partial 16S ribosomal RNA". It matches the Rfam family "Bacterial small subunit ribosomal RNA", at positions 524 to 776 of the family's 1533-position model. The record is from RNAcentral.